This 497-nucleotide ribosomal RNA is filed under the name uncultured bacterium. RNAcentral describes it as "partial 16S ribosomal RNA". It matches the Rfam family "Bacterial small subunit ribosomal RNA", at positions 28 to 507 of the family's 1533-position model. The record is from RNAcentral.
GACGAACGCUGGCGGCGUGCCUAAUACAUGCCAGUUGAGCGCUGAAGGUUGGUACUUGUACCGACUGGAUGAGCAGCGAACGGGUGAGUAACGCGUGGGGAAUCUGCCUUUGAGCGGGGGACAACAUUUGGAAACGAAUGCUAAUACCGCAUAAAAACUUUAAACACAAGUUUUAAGUUUGAAAGAUGCAAUUGCAUCACUCAAAGAUGAUCCCGCGUUGUAUUAGCUAGUUGGUGAGGUAAAGGCUCACCAAGGCGAUGAUACAUAGCCGACCUGAGAGGGUGAUCGGCCACAUUGGGACUGAGACACGGCCCAAACUCCUACGGGAGGCAGCAGUAGGGAAUCUUCGGCAAUGGACGAAAGUCUGACCGAGCAACGCCGCGUGAGUGAAGAAGGUUUUCGGAUCGUAAAACUCUGUUGAUAGAGAAGAACGUUGGUGAGAGUGGAAAGCUCAUCAAGUGACGGUAACUACCCAGAAAGGGACGGCUAACUACGUG